Molecule: ribosomal RNA, 219 nt
Filed under: Anaeromyces sp.
Lineage: Eukaryota; Fungi; Neocallimastigomycota; Neocallimastigomycetes; Neocallimastigales; Neocallimastigaceae
Description: partial large subunit ribosomal RNA
Rfam family: Eukaryotic large subunit ribosomal RNA
Source: RNAcentral
UUUGACCGUUACUUUCCAGCUGUGUGAUACCCUUUCAAAGAGUCGGAUUGUUUGGUAAUGCAGUCCAAAAUGGGUGGUAAAUUUCAUCUAAAGCUAAAUAUUGGCGAGAGACCGAUAGCGAACAAGUACCGUGAGGGAAAGAUGAAAAGAACUUUGAAAAGAGAGUUAAACAGUACGUGAAAUUGUCAAAAGGGAAGCGUUUGACACCAGUGUUGUUUA